RNAcentral lists this ribosomal RNA (430 nucleotides) under uncultured bacterium. RNAcentral describes it as "bacterial SSU rRNA". It matches the Rfam family "Bacterial small subunit ribosomal RNA", at positions 29 to 507 of the family's 1533-position model. The record is from RNAcentral.
AACGAACGCUGGCGGCAUGCCUAACACAUGCAAGUCGAACGAAGUCUUCGGACUUAGUGGCGCACGGGUGCGUAACGCGUGGAAUCUGCCCUUGGGUUCGGAAUAACAGUUAGAAAUGACUGCUAAUACCGGAUGAUGUCUUCGGACCAAAGAUUAUCGCCCAAGGAUGAGCCCGCGUAGGAUUAGGUAGUUGGUGGGGUAAUGGCCCACCAAGCCGACGAUCCUUAGCUGGUCUGAGAGGAUGAUCAGCCACACUGGGACUGAGACACGGCCCAGACUCCUACGGGAGGCAGCAGUGGGGAAUAUUGGACAAUGGGCGAAAGCCUGAUCCAGCAAUGCCGCGUGAGUGAUGAAGGCCUUAGGGUUGUAAAGCUCUUUACCAGGGAUGAUAAUGACAGUACCUGGAGAAUAAGCUCCGGCUAACUCCGUG